Long non-coding RNA from Condylura cristata (star-nosed mole), 517 nucleotides. RefSeq lists it as uncharacterized. The record is from RefSeq and is a predicted model, not a curated record. Lineage: Eukaryota; Metazoa; Chordata; Mammalia; Eulipotyphla; Talpidae. The transcript has 3 exons.
AAUCACAUGUGGCUGGGACUGUUUUCCAGAGCUCCGGGCUCUUUCCUUUCUUCCUUCCCCAUUAAAUCCCUCUGCUCCACUUGGCAAAGGUCAGCAGGUGAGCCAGAGGCCAUGUCCUGGGGUCACUAGGGCAGCCUGUGAAGAUGCCCAGAUGGUGAGGAAUGGAGGCCUCUCUUCCGCAGCUGAGGGGAGCUGAUGUCUGCCAACAGUCAGAUGUUUAUAAAACUGAAGGUUUUUGAAACCCACUUUCAAGAAAGACCUACAAUUUUGGACACAGGGUUAGGUCCUGCAGAAAGAAGUUGAGACCAACAGCCAACAGAAGAAAUCACUUAAUCUGAAUUUUUAUGAAUUUUGGGUGCCAAAAUAUUCUCCUCUCAAUAUUAGGUAGUAAGGCAGAUUUUUAAUCUGUAACAGUUGUUGACAGAGCAGAGUUUUAAAUGUAUUGUUUACUUCAUGGGGCAAUGGGUUUACUAAAGAAAUGAAUGAUGCAUUAACCUUCUGCAAGGAGAAUAUUAAA